Molecule: ribosomal RNA, 165 nt
Filed under: uncultured bacterium
Lineage: Bacteria
Description: partial 16S rRNA
Rfam family: Bacterial small subunit ribosomal RNA
Source: RNAcentral
UAGGGAAUCUUCGGCAAUGGGGGCAACCCUGACCGAGCAACGCCGCGUGAGUGAAGAAGGUUUUCGGAUCGUAAAGCUCUGUUGUAAGAGAAGAACGUGUGUGAGGGUGGAAAGUUCACACAGUGACGGUAACUUACCAGAAAGGGACGGCUAACUACGUGCCAG